This 384-nucleotide RNase P RNA is filed under the name bacterium SGD-2. RNAcentral describes it as "RNase P RNA component class A". It matches the Rfam family "Bacterial RNase P class A". Rfam says of the family: Ribonuclease P (RNase P) is a ubiquitous endoribonuclease, found in archaea, bacteria and eukarya as well as chloroplasts and mitochondria. Its best characterised activity is the generation of mature 5'-ends of tRNAs by cleaving the 5'-leader elements of precursor-tRNAs. Cellular RNase Ps are ribonucleoproteins. The record is from RNAcentral.
CCAGCUGGCCGGACGGCCGCGCGCGCAAGUGCCGAAAGGCCGCGCGUGAGGAAAGUCCGGGCUCCAUGGAACACGAUGCCGGAUAACGUCCGGCGGGGGAAACCCUAGGGAAAGUGCCACAGAAAGCAAACCGCCCCGCUUGCGGGGUAAGGGUGAAAGGGUGGGGUAAGAGCCCACCGCGCGACUGGCAACAGGAGCGGCACGGCAAACCCCAUCGGGAGCAAAACCGAAUAGGAACGACGCGAGGGUAACCUCAGGCAGUUCCAGCCCAGUCGUUCGGGUAGGUUGCUAGAGGUCGGCGGCAACGCCGAUCCCAGAGGAAUGGUCGUCACGUCACCGCUCGCGGUGGCCUUACAGAACCCGGCUUACAGGCCGGCUGGCAUU